GGGGAAACCCUGGUGGUCCAAGUGGUGAGAGUGAACUCUAUCAGCCACAGGGGCUGCUAGUGUUCACUCUCGCGAGAUUCAAAACAUUGCCGGGGUAACCAUGGCAACGCUUUAAGCUCACAAGAGGAGAACCCGGCAGAGCUGCAGGUUAGAGCUCCCCUGGUUCCUCUCUCUCCCUCCCCUGCCAGCUUCCAGCAUUACACUACUAGCCGGUGAGGGAGAUCGGCAUGGGAGAGGGAGGCACGGAAAUAUCUUGCGGCAAUUUAUUGCUAGUCCACGAAAGCUUUCACCCGACGGUAUAGGCAGGUGAAAACUUUCGCGGACCGGCAAUAAAUUCUUGAAGACCACUGCUC
This is a non-coding RNA of Pelobates cultripes (western spadefoot toad), 353 nucleotides long. Lineage: Eukaryota; Metazoa; Chordata; Amphibia; Anura; Pelobatidae. The record is from the annotation of a GenBank genome assembly.